UUAUGCAGUGAACACCAAAGUGUGCUUUAUAGUUCCCUUGGUUUUAACUGUGUGCUAGAGUGAUGUCUGUUUUUUACUUCUGCAUUGAAAAGGCUGCCAUUUUAAUUGUAUUAAGAAAGUAAAAAGUCAG
Sorex araneus (European shrew) is the source of this 130-nucleotide small nucleolar RNA. The record is from Ensembl. Lineage: Eukaryota; Metazoa; Chordata; Mammalia; Eulipotyphla; Soricidae.